This 656-nucleotide ribosomal RNA is filed under the name uncultured eukaryote. RNAcentral describes it as "SSU rRNA". It matches the Rfam family "Eukaryotic small subunit ribosomal RNA", at positions 443 to 1094 of the family's 1831-position model. The record is from RNAcentral.
ACCCAAUCCUGACACAGGGAGGUAGUGACAAUAAAUAACAAUGCUCUGGCUCUUCGAGUCGGGCAAUUGGAAUGAGAACAAUUUAAAUCCCUUAUCGAGGAUCAAUUGGAGGGCAAGUCUGGUGCCAGCAGCCGCGGUAAUUCCAGCUCCAAUAGCGUAUAUUAAAGUUGUUGCAGUUAAAAAGCUCGUAGUUGGAUUUCUGCUUUGAGCGUCCGGUCCGCUCCUUUGGAGUGUGUUACUAGGAUGGUUGAGGCAUUUUUUGUGAGGACGCCCUUCUGCCAUUCAGUUGGUGGUUGGAUGGACUUGCAUCGUUUACUGUGAAAAAAUUAGAGUGUUUAAAGCAGGCGUUUGCUCAUUGAAUACAUUAGCAUGGAAUAAUAAGAUACGACCUUGGUGGUCUAUUUUGUUGGUUUGCACACCAGGGUAAUGAUUAAUAGGGACAGUUGGGGGUAUUCAUAUUGCAGCGUCAGAGGUGAAAUUCUUGGAUCGCUGCAAGAUGAGCUUAGGCGAAAGCAUUUACCAAGGAUGUUUUCAUUAAUCAAGAACGAAAGUUAAGGGAUCGAAGAUGAUUAGAUACCAUCGUAGUCUUAACCAUAAACUAUGCCGACUCGGGAUUGGCAGUCGUUUUUUUAAUGACCUUGUCAGCACCGUAUGAG